This 1518-nucleotide long non-coding RNA is filed under the name Macaca mulatta (Rhesus monkey). RNAcentral describes it as "lncRNA (ENSMMUG00000063613.1)". Lineage: Eukaryota; Metazoa; Chordata; Mammalia; Primates; Cercopithecidae. The record is from RNAcentral.
GGCAGGGCAAAGUACCUUUUUGUUUGGAAUUGAAAUUGCCAAAAGGGUUUAAUCACUUUUACUGUGGUAUGAGUUCAUGUCUUACCAAAAACAUGAGAAAUAGGUUCUCUUGAUUUGCAUGGUAGAUGCAUUUCUAAUGCCAUUGGGAGGCUAUGGUAACAGAAAUACCUUUAAUGUUCCAUUCUCUUUUAGGGUUCUACAAAAAGUGCACUCUAAUGUCGCAGGUCCUGGAGGAGGGAGUUCUCAUAGCAGUCCACCUGAUGGUUGAGAAUCGAAAGAGUGCCACCCAAAUGGAGAAGAAAUAAUAUGAAUUAUUGUUAUGGAAGAAGAAAUUAUUUUCUUGGGAAAAGAUUCUACUUUAUUCUGGAAUGUGCCCUUUUCAGAGUUAAAGAGCCCUUUUUCCCCUCAAAGCAUGAGACGGACAAGGACAAACUGGGUCUCCUUACAAGCUUAAAAACUGCCCUGCUCUAGGCAGAAACAAGAAACAUCAGAUACCACAGCAAAAAUGAAAAAAAAAUUAUUCAUAAAUUCCACAGAUUGAGAAAGACUUCAAGCUGAAAGCAGGUAAGCUUUAGCUUCAUAGGCUAUAAGUCCUGAGCGUUUCAGAAAAAAUAGCUUUUCUAGAAGUUUAGAUAAUUUUGGUGAAUUAUGAUGUUCUUGAACUAUUGUUGGGUCUAUAAUUUUUCAGGAGGCUGAAAAAUCACCAAGAGAAUGACUAAGAAAACUUUUCCUGCAUUGCCAUAUAGUUGUUAAAGUUCAAGUGGUAAACAAAUAAAGGAUGGAAAUGUCAUUCUGGUUUCUAAAUAUACUGUAAUUUCUUUGAGAUUCCUCUUAUCAGGAAACUUCCGCCCUUAGGAUUCUCUGACAUCUAAUUUGUUGAACUGUUUAUAAAACACAGAAAUGUGAAGAUGCACGAGAUGUUGUUUACAAAAUAUUCAUGGCCCAAACUAGAAAAAAAAAUCCACAUUGAACGCCUAACUGUUGAAUAUAGUCUGGCUGUGAUAUCUUCUUAGGGGGAGUUCUUGAUGUUUCUAUUCCUUGAAAAAAUUUGACAUGAGACUACUAUUGUCUUUGUGUGGUAGAUUCGGUUAUUGUUCGGGAAAUAAUUAUCCUUUUCCUGUCCAUCUCCAUGGGAAGAUUGUCUACUACCCUAUCCUAUAGAUGCUGGUCUUGGCCAUAUUACUUGCUUUGGCCAGUGGCAUGCUAGUGAAUGUGAUGUGAGCAGAGGCCUGAAAUGUGCUAGUGUAGUUGGGCUUAUUCUCUUGUGUUUGUUCCUCUGCCAUGAAAUACACUCUUUGGUCUAGAUAGCUCUCUGUCCCAAGGACCAUGCUCAUGCAAAACAGACUUGAACCCAAACUGCAGCUGAUGUGGUUUGGCUGUGUCCCCACCCAAACCUCAUCUUGAAUUGUACUUCCCAUAAUCCCCACAUGUCUCCGGGAGGGACCUGGUGAGAGGUAACUGAAUCAUGGGGGCAGUUACCUCCAUGCUGUUCUUGUGAUAGUGAGUUCUCAUGACUAU